UACGUAGGGGGCAAGCGUUGUCCGGAAUUAUUGGCGUAAAGGGCGCGUAGGCGGGCUGCCAAGUCUGGGGUGAAAUCCCACGGCUCAACCGUGGAACUGCCUCAGAUACUGGCGGCCUCGAGGGAGGUAGGGGCAUGCGGAACUAUGCGUGGAGCGGUGAAAUGCGUUGAUAUGCAUAGGAACUCCGGUGGCGAAGGCGGCGUGCUGGACCUCUUCUGACGCUGAGACACGAAAGCGUGGGGAGCAAACAGG
Molecule: ribosomal RNA, 252 nt
Filed under: uncultured bacterium
Lineage: Bacteria
Description: partial 16S ribosomal RNA
Rfam family: Bacterial small subunit ribosomal RNA
Source: RNAcentral